RNAcentral lists this ribosomal RNA (483 nucleotides) under uncultured bacterium. Its description in RNAcentral is "bacterial SSU rRNA". It matches the Rfam family "Bacterial small subunit ribosomal RNA", at positions 9 to 524 of the family's 1533-position model. The record is from RNAcentral.
GAGUUUGAUCAUGGCUCAGAAUCAACGCUGGCGGCGUGCCUAACACAUGCAAGUCGCACGAGAAAGGGACUUCGGUCUUGAGUAAAGUGGCGCACGGGUGAGUAACACGUGACUAAUCUACCCUCGAGUGGGGAAUAACUGAGAGAAAUCUUAGCUAAUACCGCAUAACACUUACGAGUCAAAGCAGCAAUGCGCUUGGGGAGGAGGUCGCGGCUGAUUAGCUAGUUGGCGGGGUAAUGGCCCACCAAGGCGAUGAUCGGUAUCCGGCCUGAGAGGGCGCACGGACACACUGGAACUGAAACACGGUCCAGACUCCUACGGGAGGCAGCAGUGGGGAAUUUUGCGCAAUGGGGGAAACCCUGACGCAGCAACGCCGCGUGGAGGAUGAAGUAUCUUGGUACGUAAACUCCUUUCGAUGGGGAAGAUAAUGACGGUACCCAUAGAAGAAGCCCCGGCUAACUUCGUGCCAGCAGCCGCGGUAAC